AAGUCGUAACAAGGUUUCCGUAGGUGAACCUGCGGAAGGAUCAUUAACACGUAUCCAAACGUAAAAAACCCCCCCCGUGAACAUUCAAUCCUGCUCUUGUAACCCGCGUAGUUCGCAAUCUCUGGUAAAUCAUAGCCCGGAAAGUAGUUUUGAUUCAGAAGGGUCCCCAUGCCCCCUUAUAACCCCACAGUUUAAUGUGAAGCUCAAUGUAAUACAUUGGGUAAAAAAACCGAACAACUGUUAACAAUGGAUAUCUUGGUUCUC
Molecule: unclassified non-coding RNA, 264 nt
Filed under: fungal sp.
Lineage: Eukaryota; Fungi
Description: partial internal transcribed spacer region
Rfam family: Eukaryotic small subunit ribosomal RNA (bases 1-46)
Source: RNAcentral